This 2682-nucleotide long non-coding RNA is filed under the name Equus caballus (horse). Its description in RNAcentral is "lncRNA (ENSECAG00000039424.3)". The record is from RNAcentral. Lineage: Eukaryota; Metazoa; Chordata; Mammalia; Perissodactyla; Equidae.
UUUAUAAUAAAAAAACACAGUGGUUAUAUCUUCACGUGGAACGCCAAGCCCCGGCCUCCCAGAACAGAGCACAGGAGGUGCAGGGCGUGCUGGGCGGCGGGCGGGGGCCAGGCUCGGCGGGAAGACCCCCGAGCAGCCGCCUUGCGCCUGCGCUUCUCUGCUCACGGGCUUGCCAAAGGGUGAAAGGCAACCUUUUUAAAGGUUGUAAUUACAAAAAGGCGAUGAUUCUUAGUGAAGAUUCAAACUCUCUUAAAUUAAAGAAAAAGAGAAAAGAAAGAAAGGAAUUCCUGGAUUCGUGUAAUUAAAAAGUCAAGGGCAGGUAUAGUCCUAGGCAAGCUUGGAUCCAGACAACCACCCAUUACCCAGCGACGUCGUUUUCUCUCCGGAUCUUGGCUUUGCUUUCUUCUGUGUUAACUUCACUCUCAGGAGACCUUGCCUGUUGGUGGUCCCUGGCAGCCCCAGGCUUUUGUCAUCCUUAUAGCAAAGAACUGCUGGUCCCAGCAGAUGCACCAAAGCCAUCCCUGGACCCAUGUCUUGCCCAGUGGCAUAGAAUAAGCUGCUUAGAUCACAUGCCCGUCUUUAGAGAGAAACAGAGGGCCCAGUCCUAUGCAAACUGCCAUAGACUGCCGUACAUAGAGAAAGUAGAGGAGGCUGACGCUGCGGGCUUGUUUGUCCAUCCGUUCCUGCAUCCCUUUAAAGCAUCUGCUCUGCCUUCAGAGGACUCAGUAGCGCUGCUCGACUCAGAUGGGAGGAUGUGAUCAGACGUCAGGGGAAGUUUCCCGGAAAAGGCUUAAACUACUAGAAGCCAUUAUUCAAGGAAAAUUGUGGGUGCUAGAAGACAUGAACUCGCGUAUGUGGCUCAGGCCGUAUUUCUGCUGGCCAGCGCCGGCCAGUCCGCUGCGGGAGUGCUCAGGAAGUCAAGACACCAGGCGCUGGGAGGCCUGACGCGCGGCAUCUUGUCCAUCUGGCCAUUGGAGCUCCAUGCUGCGACGGCCGCGCAGAGGAGCUGGGUCCAGAGCGCCCGGCGCAUCUGCCGUAUCGCGGACUCGACGCCAGCAUCACUGCUGCAUGGAUUCAGACUGGGAUAGACUGCUCCCGAAAUUUGACUUGGAGAAGAAAGCGUGACGUGCACUUCCUGUGUGUGGCAGUCCGCGAGCCGUCCCCGGGCGCCCUCCUCCCGCCUCCACCACUUUGCGCCUGGCUUUCUCUUUGCCCGGAGGAGCCCUCCUCCCGCCUCCACUGGUGAAAUCCUCCUCCGUCCUCACUGCCCAGUUCAAGUCCUCGUCCUCUUUCCGGGCUUCCUGGUUCUCCAGAUGGGAAAAGAGGUGCUCCUAAUCCACGCUCUCGCAGGAGAAGCAGAGCAAGCGCGCAGGGAGUGCUGACUGUCCAUGAGACAUCAUCGGGAUUUCUAGCUGGCGUUUCCUAGAAUCACCUUCCAAAUGAACCACCUGUACUUGAAUGGUGGUUUGAGCGCUGGUGUCUGGAGGAACCAAAACUAAGACAAUGGCUGUAUCAAGAGUCUGAAGAAUGAAGUCAUGGUCGGAGUCUGAGUCAUGCUUCAGAACUGUUUACUGAGAGAAAAGUGCUUCUGAUGGAAGCUCACGCACCAGUGAGGUUGGGGAGCACGAGAAAGUGAGAACAGAAUGGGGCUGAAGGAAAGGACAGGAAAGGAGAAGGGGUUACUUCAACAAGUUGGUUCUGCCGGAGGCUCAGGAACGUGGAGAAGCAGUUUGAGGUGUGCAGAGGAGAAAUGCACAGAAGGCCAGGAAGCCCGACACUAGAUCACUGCCUCCUGGGAAAUCAUGAAAUCUGAUUAAAACAGACACCGUAAGGGCUCUUUUUGUGCUAUGCACUUUUCUUCCUGGGGAAUUUGCAUAUUCCCUGAUAAAAAGAUAGAUAUAAAGUGUCCUGAAGAAUAUUAAGAAGUAAACCGUAGUACAACGCCUUUAGUUUUGAAUAGUAAGAACUCUGUUUCCUCAUUUCCUUUGGAAAUCUAACAAAAUAUUCCUUAUGAAAAAUUUUUGAGGAUAAGCACUUAAAAGACAUUGCUACAAGCUGUGCUCCUAAUGUUUUCUUAUCAUUUUUUACCUACAUGGAAAGCAUACAGAUCACCAUGACGGCCCCGUAGCUGCCAAGUGAAAGGGUGUUAAGAUGAUUUUGACCCUCUACAUUGAAUGUGCUGUCAUCUUUACUGUAAAAGAAAUUACCUAGACUCAAAUCAUUAUCCAGAAGUCACUAAAUCUUUUGACAUAAAAUGGCAAAAUCUUUUAAGAAUAAAUGAUAUAGCAAGACCAAGGAUAAACUGAGUUCAACAAAAAUCAAUUGCUGUGAAAUCUAGUUUGUCUAUUUUGAUUUUGUCUAUUUCCUUGUCUUUCUCCUGGGGAGAGGAGCAGAUUUUGUACCUAAACCAAAGAUGGGGACACCACUGGUGAAGCCGUUCUUUUGUCUUCUUCCCGCAACGCAUGCCUCUGCUUGAACCUCUUCCCUCCCAGGUCUGAGGUGGGAGCUUGGGGACCCCAGGGUCCUAAGGGAAUGACAAUUGUGGCAUUCAUCUCUGGGAGGACAGGGGGAGAGGGUGUAUAAGAAAAUAGUGUUCAGGCCAGUUAAUGACGUGAGCGGGGGAAGGGCAAGCGUGGGGAACGGAGCGGGUUCUGAGAGCAAGAAGGGGAUGAAAUGGGUGAU